This 427-nucleotide ribosomal RNA is filed under the name uncultured bacterium. RNAcentral's name for it is "partial 16S ribosomal RNA". It matches the Rfam family "Bacterial small subunit ribosomal RNA", at positions 355 to 774 of the family's 1533-position model. The record is from RNAcentral.
UGGGGAAUAUUGCACAAUGGGCGCAAGCCUGAUGCAGCCAUGCCGCGUGUGUGAAGAAGGCCUUCGGGUUGUAAAGCACUUUCAGGGAGGAGGAAGGGUAGUGUGUUAAUAGCACAUUGCAUUGACGUUACUCGCAGAAGAAGCACCGGCUAACUCCGUGCCAGCAGCCGCGGUAAUACGGAGGGUGCAAGCGUUAAUCGGAAUUACUGGGCGUAAAGCGCACACAGGCGGUUUGUUAAGUCAGAUGUGAAAUCCCCGCGCUUAACGUGGGAACUGCAUUUGAAACUGGCAAGCUAGAGUCUUGUAGAGGGGGGUAGAAUUCCAGGUGUAGCGGUGAAAUGCGUAGAGAUCUGGAGGAAUCCCGGUGGCGAAGGCGGCCCCCUGGACAAAGACUGACGCUCAGGUGCGAAAGCGUGGGGCGCAAACA